GCUCUUGUUUCUCUUCAUAUUGUACAAAUCUUUCACCUUUUACUAAAGAUUUCCAUGGAGAGGAACAACUACAGAAAUAACCCAAUUUUUGAUGCCCUGCUUAAAUGCGGGGU
RNAcentral lists this small nuclear RNA (113 nucleotides) under Monopterus albus (swamp eel). Its description in RNAcentral is "U5 spliceosomal RNA (ENSMALG00000005856.1)". It matches the Rfam family "U5 spliceosomal RNA". From Rfam's summary of the family: U5 RNA is a component of both types of known spliceosome. The precise function of this molecule is unknown, though it is known that the 5' loop is required for splice site selection and p220 binding, and that both the 3' stem-loop and the Sm site are important for Sm protein binding and cap methylation. The record is from RNAcentral. Lineage: Eukaryota; Metazoa; Chordata; Actinopteri; Synbranchiformes; Synbranchidae.